This 429-nucleotide ribosomal RNA is filed under the name Bacteroidota bacterium. RNAcentral describes it as "Bacteroidetes bacterium partial 16S ribosomal RNA". It matches the Rfam family "Bacterial small subunit ribosomal RNA", at positions 355 to 776 of the family's 1533-position model. Lineage: Bacteria; Pseudomonadati; Bacteroidota. The record is from RNAcentral.
UAGGGAAUCUUCGGCAAUGGGGGGAACCCUGACCGAGCAACGCCGCGUGAGUGAAGAAGGUUUUCGGAUCGUAAAGCUCUGUUGUUAAGGAAGAACGAGUGUGAGAAUGGAAAGUUCAUACUGUGACGGUACUUAACCAGAAAGGGACGGCUAACUACGUGCCAGCAGCCGCGGUAAUACGUAGGUCCCGAGCGUUGUCCGGAUUUAUUGGGCGUAAAGCGAGCGCAGGCGGUUAGAUAAGUCUGAAGUUAAAGGCAGUGGCUCAACCAUUGUAGGCUUUGGAAACUGUUUAACUUGAGUGCAGAAGGGGAGAGUGGAAUUCCAUGUGUAGCGGUGAAAUGCGUAGAUAUAUGGAGGAACACCGGUGGCGAAAGCGGCUCUCUGGUCUGUAACUGACGCUGAGGCUCGAAAGCGUGGGGUGCGAACAGG